Molecule: ribosomal RNA, 1850 nt
Filed under: human gut metagenome
Description: bacterial LSU rRNA
Rfam family: Bacterial large subunit ribosomal RNA
Source: RNAcentral
GGAGGGGAGUGAAAUAGUACCUGAAACCGUAUGUCUACAAGCAGUCGGAGCGAAAGCGACGGCGUGCCUAUUGAAGAAUGAACCAACGAGUUAUCUGCACUAGCGAGGUUAAGUGGAAGACACGGAGCCGUAGCGAAAGCGAGUCUGAAAAGGGCGGCGAGUUAGUGUAGGUAGACCCGAAACCGCAGUGAUCUACCCAUGUCCAGGUUGAAGCGCAGGUAAAAAUGCGUGGAGGACCGAACCGGUGAGCGUUGAAAAGCUUUCGGAUGAGAUGUGGGUAGGGGUGAAAUUCCAAUCGAACGCGGAGAUAGCUGGUUCUCCCCGAAAUAGCUUUAGGGCUAGCCUCAGGUAGUAAGUAUAGGCGGUAGAGCACUGAUCGGGCUAGGGGCCAUAAAGGUUACCGAACCCUGUCAAACUCCGAAUGGAUAUACUGCAGAGCCUGGGAGUCAGACUACGAGUGAUAAGAUCCGUGGUCAAAAGGGAAACAGCCCAGACCACCGGCUAAGGUCCCAAAUGCCGUACUAAGUGGAAAAGGAUGUGGGGAUUCAUAAACAACCAGGAUGUUGGCUCAGAAGCAGCCACCAUUUAAAGAGUGCGUAAUAGCUCACUGGUCGAGAGUCCCUGCGCCGAAAAUUUCCGGGGCUAAAGUACGGAACCGAAGCCGUGGCUGUGCAUGUAAGUGCACGGGGUAGGGGAGCGUUGCCACAGGGGUGAAGCUGGUCUGGAAGGACUGGUGGACUUGUGGGAAGUGAGAAUGUUGGUAUGAGUAGCGAAAAGAAAGGUGAGAAUCCUUUCCACCGAAAGCAUAAGGAUUCCUGAGCAACGAUCGUCGUCUCAGGGUAAGUCGGGACCUAAUCCGAGGCAAAGAGCGUAGGAGAUGGACAACAGGUUGAUAUUCCUGUACCGGCAGCAAUUGUUUGAGCGAAGGAGUGACACAGAAGGGCAGGCAGGCGCGAGACUGGAUUGUCGCGUGCAAGCGUGUAGGGUAGUGUACAGGCAAAUCCGUACACUGAAAGCCUGAGGCGUUACGCGGAGCGAGCAGAGAUGCGAGCGAAGCUGCUGAUCCCACACUGUCGAGAAAAGCUUCUAGUGAGAGAGCUGCCGCCCGUACCGUAAACCGACACAGGUAUGCGGGGAGAGAAUCCUAAGGUGCGCGGGAGAACCCUCGUUAAGGAACUCGGCAAAAUGUACCCGUAACUUCGGGAUAAGGGUAGCCGUCUUGGUGAAGGAGCUUGCCUCUGGAGCUGAAGGCGGUCGCAGAGAAGAGGCCCAAGCGACUGUUUACCACAAACACAGGUGCCUGCUAAAGCGAAAGCUGACGUAUAGGUGCUGACACCUGCCCAGUGCUGGAAGGUUAAGGAAGGAUGUCCGGGCAACCAAAGCAUUCGACCGAAGCCCCAGUGAACGGCGGCCGUAACUAUAACGGUCCUAAGGUAGCGAAAUUCCUUGUCGGGUAAGUUCCGACCCGCACGAAAGGUGUAACGAUUUGGGCACUGUCUCAACGAGGGACCCGGUGAAAUUGAAAUACCUGUGAAGAUGCAGGUUACCCGCGACUGGACAGAAAGACCCCAUGGAGCUUUACUGUAACCUGACAUUGGGUUUUGUUGUAUUACGUACAGGAUAGGUGGGAGGCUUAGAAGGCUGGACGCUAGUCUGGCUGGAGCCGGCGUUGGGAUACCACCCUUGAUACAACGGAAUUCUAACCGAGAGAGUAACGAAAUCCGGGACAGUGUCAGGCGGGCAGUUUGACUGGGGCGGUCGCCUCCGAAAGAGUAACGGAGGCGCCCAAAGGUUCCCUCAGCGCGGCCGGAAAUCGCGCGAAGAGUGUAAAGGCAGAAGGGAGCUUGACU